GAUGAACGCUGGCGGCGUGCCUAAUACAUGCAAGUCGAGCGAACGGACGAGAAGCUUGCUUCUCUGAUGUUAGUGGCGGACGGGUGAGUAACACGUGGAUAACCUACCUAUAAGACUGGGAUAACUUCGGGAAACCGGAGCUAAUACCGGAUGAUAUUUUGAACCGCAUGGUUCAAAAGUGAAAGACGGUCUUGCUGUCACUUAUAGAUGGAUCCGCGCUGCAUUAGCUAGUUGGUAAGGUAACGGCUUACCAAGGCAACGAUGCAUAGCCGACCUGAGAGGGUGAUCGGCCACACUGGAACUGAGACACGGUCCAGACUCCUACGGGAGGCAGCAGUAGGGAAUCUUCCGUAAUGGGCGAAAGCCUGACGGAGCAACGCCGCGUGAGUGAUGAAGGUCUUCGGAUCGUAAAACUCUGUUAUUAGGGAAGAACAUAUGUGUAAGUAACUGUGCACAUCUUGACGGUACCUAAUCAGAAAGCCACGGCUAACUACGUG
Molecule: ribosomal RNA, 497 nt
Filed under: uncultured bacterium
Lineage: Bacteria
Description: partial 16S ribosomal RNA
Rfam family: Bacterial small subunit ribosomal RNA
Source: RNAcentral